Long non-coding RNA from Homo sapiens (human), 1304 nucleotides. The record is from Ensembl. Lineage: Eukaryota; Metazoa; Chordata; Mammalia; Primates; Hominidae.
AGAGCAUGCCGGGAGUCUGGCAGUCCGUGCGGCAGCAGUGGAGCGCAGAGGACAGGGCCGGCCUGGAGCGCUUGGCGUCUCCCCGAAGUCUCUCUGAGAGCUGGGGAGGCGGUUGGCCCGCUAGGUCACUAGGUCGGGCAGGGGUCUUCCCCCAAACAUGGAAGUUUUCACCGAUAUUUCGCCGGUGACAUUGGGGCCUUGUGCCAACAGACUUUGCUGAAGUGAACCCAAAGUUCAACCCUCCGGGAGAGUCCUUGCAACGAUUCGGCCACUCAGUUCUGGAGCCGUCGGCACUACAUUCUAAGUUGCGGUGGACUCCACUGGCAUCUGCGUGACUAUCUCCGGCCGGUGUGCAUAGGCGCCCGUCGGGUCGGGGGCUGAGGACCUUGGACAGGGCGGCCACACCCCUCUCGUACAGCAGCGCCUCUGUCCAUUCUGCGCAGGCGCCUCUGGGGUCAGGGACGGAGGAACCCGGGCGAGUAGCCACGCCCCUUCACAGGUGUCUUCCCUCGACCGCUACUUUCGCCCCUGGCAGCCAAACACAGGAACGCUGAAAAACAGGCUGAGAGGUGGAUUUGAGGAAUUACAUCGUUCACUUAGAGUUGAACUGGAGAAGCAUUCUUGUACGUCCUUAUACCUCCCUGCACUCUCAUCCUAACCCUGUUAGGAUACAAAAGUACGGGACAGACCUACUCGUAAGAAAUACUGUUAGUGUUAAAUAUUCUGAUUUUUAACUACAGCAAAAAUCGUACUGUUCAAGUCAUAUCCCUGAGCGUUGUGAGAUGAGGGCCAAAGAUCAAAGCCUCUGGUAUUUAUUUGGUUACAGUAUUUCAUAUAUUGAAGAAAGUAAAGGGCAAAUGUUUGCCUGUGUUGCGUUAAAACGGCACGUUGAAUGAGGAAUAUGGCACAUUUACCAAUAACUGGAGUUUUGCUUUUUCUCCUUCCUGUGGUCGUUUUACCCCUUCCUGUAACAAUAUUUUGAAGUAAGAACCUACUAAAAAUCAGUAAUUGAGAAAAAUUUUAAUUGGUAUCCAAUUUUCUGAUGUACCAAAAGAAAAUAGUGUGAAAUCAUAUACGAGUUUCUGGUAUUGCUGAGCCAAAAACAGAAAGAGGAACAGAAAGUUAAGCCCACAGGAAUUAUUGCUAACCCUAUGUUUUUCUGUGUUUGAGGUUAUAAUUCUUUUCUUUCACAGCUUUUGAAAAGUAAUAGAAACACUGUUCUUUCCCCCUCAAAAAAAUUAGGCAAAAACGACAUUCCUGUUGAGUUAAAUUUUCCAAUUACAAAUAAAAUGUGCUUUGAUAUA